AAAAUAAAAAAUUUCAAAAUGAAUAAAUAAAUCAAAUUUAAUUUUAAAUUUUAGAAAAAAAAAAUUAAAAUAUAAAAAUCCCAUACCAAACUAGCAACAACAAUUAAUAUAAAACAAUCUAAUUCUAAAUAUAGAUCUACCAUGUGAAUUUCUAAAUUUUUUGACAGAAUAAAAACAUUUUUUUAACCUAUUCAUGACAACAAUAAAUAAAAUAUGAUUUAUAAAUAUAAAAGUGCAAAUUCUUCAAUACAAAUUAACCUAAUUUAAAUUUACCGCCAAAUUAUAUAAUUUUAAUUAAUAUUAUUCCUCAGUUUAAAACUAUUCCUAAAUAUUUAAUCCAUAUAAAUAGGGUAUCUAAUCCUAAUCUAACUUGAACUAAAAUUAUUUAAAUAAAAAACUAAUAAUUCACGUAAAUACAUUUCACCAUUAAUUAAUAAAUUUUAAUAAACACUUUAACCUUAAAUUAAAUAUAAAUAUAAACAUUAGUUUUCGUUUGCUUUGU
RNAcentral lists this ribosomal RNA (502 nucleotides) under Ceroplastes sp. CCG-AL-30. Its description in RNAcentral is "partial 12S ribosomal RNA". The record is from RNAcentral. Lineage: Eukaryota; Metazoa; Arthropoda; Insecta; Hemiptera; Coccidae.